RNAcentral lists this ribosomal RNA (502 nucleotides) under uncultured bacterium. Its description in RNAcentral is "partial 16S ribosomal RNA". It matches the Rfam family "Bacterial small subunit ribosomal RNA", at positions 899 to 1397 of the family's 1533-position model. The record is from RNAcentral.
ACUCAAAUGAAUUGACGGGGGCCCGCACAAGCGGUGGAGCAUGUGGUUUAAUUCGACGCAACGCGAAGAACCUUACCUGGGCUUGAACUACUCGUGGUAAGUCUCUGGAAACAGAGGCUGACCCGCAAGGGAGCGAGCAGAGGUGCUGCAUGGUUGUCGUCAGCUCGUGUCGUGAGAUGUUGGGUUAAGUCCCGCAACGAGCGCAACCCCUAUCUCAUGUUGCUAAUCCCGCAAGGGAUGCACUCUUGAGAAACUGCCUUCGAUAAGAAGGAGGAAGGUGGGGACGACGUCAAAUCCUCAUGGCCCUUAUGUCCAGGGCUACACACGUGCUACAAUGGCCGGUACAACGGGAAGCAAUACCGCAAGGUGGAGCCAAACCCUGAAAGCCGGCCCCAGUUCAGAUUGUGGGCUGCAACUCGCCCACAUGAAGGUGGAAUCGCUAGUAAUCGCGAAUCAGCAGGUCGCGGUGAAUACGUUCCCGGGCCUUGUACACACCGCCCGU